RNAcentral lists this ribosomal RNA (240 nucleotides) under uncultured bacterium. Its description in RNAcentral is "partial 16S ribosomal RNA". It matches the Rfam family "Bacterial small subunit ribosomal RNA", at positions 333 to 588 of the family's 1533-position model. The record is from RNAcentral.
CCAGUCCUACGGGGGGCAGCAGUGGGGAAUAUUGGGCAAUGGGCGCAAGCCUGACCCAGCGACGCCGCGUGAGGGAAGACGGUCUUCGGAUUGUAAACCUCUUUCAGCAGGGAAGACAAAGGGACGGUACCUGCAGAAGGAGCCACGGCUAACUACGUGCCAGCAGCCGCGGUAAUACGUAGGUGGCAAGCGUUAUCCGGAAUUACUGGGUGUAAAGGGUGUGUAGGCGGGUUUGCAAGU